This 26-nucleotide non-coding RNA is filed under the name Mus musculus (house mouse). Lineage: Eukaryota; Metazoa; Chordata; Mammalia; Rodentia; Muridae. The record is from RNAcentral.
UGGGAUCUACCUCCUGGAAAGUUCUC